CAGUAGCCGCGGGAAUACGAAGGGGGCUAGCGUUGUUCGGAUUUACUGGGCGUAAAGCGCACGUAGGCGGAUCGAUCAGUCAGGGGUGAAAUCCCAGAGCUCAACUCUGGAACUGCCUUUGAUACUGUCGAUCUGGAGUAUGGAAAAGGUGAGUGGAAUUCCGAGUGUAGAGGUGAAAUUCGUAGAUAUUCGGAGGAACACCAGUGGCGAAGGCGGCUCACUGGUCCAUUACUGACGCUGAGGUGCGAAAGCGUGGGGAGCAAACAGGAUUAGAUACCCCCGUAGUCCCUGUCUCUUAUAC
Molecule: ribosomal RNA, 301 nt
Filed under: uncultured bacterium
Lineage: Bacteria
Description: partial 16S ribosomal RNA
Rfam family: Bacterial small subunit ribosomal RNA
Source: RNAcentral